Molecule: transfer RNA, 72 nt
Filed under: Westerdykella ornata
Lineage: Eukaryota; Fungi; Ascomycota; Dothideomycetes; Pleosporales; Sporormiaceae
Rfam family: tRNA
About the family: Transfer RNA (tRNA) molecules are approximately 80 nucleotides in length.
Source: Rfam by way of RNAcentral
AGCUGAAUGGCGCAGCGGAAGCGCGCCGGGCUCAUAACCCGGAGGACACUGGAUCGAAACCAGUUUCAGCUA